CCUGUCACAGAACAGGUCGGGAUGUGAACCGCGAGGUCGAAGAUCUCGCCGAGAUUGGAAAUCUCGCUACGGUUUGAACCACGCA
This 85-nucleotide non-coding RNA is filed under the name unclassified sequences. RNAcentral describes it as "eL15-Euryarchaeota ribosomal protein leader". It matches the Rfam family "eL15-Euryarchaeota ribosomal protein leader". The record is from RNAcentral.